This 425-nucleotide ribosomal RNA is filed under the name uncultured bacterium. RNAcentral's name for it is "partial 16S ribosomal RNA". It matches the Rfam family "Bacterial small subunit ribosomal RNA", at positions 354 to 796 of the family's 1533-position model. The record is from RNAcentral.
GUGGGGAAUCUUGCGCAAUGGGCGAAAGCCUGACGCAGCCAUGCCGCGUGAAUGAUGAAGGUCUUAGGAUUGUAAAAUUCUUUCACCGGGGACGAUAAUGACGGUACCCGGAGAAGAAGCCCCGGCUAACUUCGUGCCAGCAGCCGCGGUAAUACGAAGGGGGCUAGCGUUGCUCGGAAUUACUGGGCGUAAAGGGCGCGUAGGCGGACAGUUUAGUCAGAGGUGAAAGCCCAGGGCUCAACCUUGGAAUUGCCUUUGAUACUGGCUGUCUUGAGUACGGGAGAGGUGAGUGGAACUCCGAGUGUAGAGGUGAAAUUCGUAGAUAUUCGGAGGAACACCAGUGGCGAAGGCGGCUCACUGGCUCGAUACUGACGCUGAGGUGCGAAAGCGUGGGGAGCAAACAGGAUUAGAUACCCGUGUAGUCC